AUGGCCACAUCAUGUUGAAACACUGGUUCCUGUAUGAUCAUAGAAGUUAAGUAACAUUGAGCCUGGUCAAUACCUUGAUGGGUGACUGCUUGGGAAUACCAGGUGGU
Acanthosepion pharaonis is the source of this 107-nucleotide non-coding RNA. The record is from the annotation of a GenBank genome assembly. Lineage: Eukaryota; Metazoa; Mollusca; Cephalopoda; Sepiida; Sepiidae.